CAAAGGAACUCAUGACAAUUGACAGCCAACUCUGACCCAGCACAGCACUGACCAGAUAGAUGCUUUAAGCAAUGACAACUCCUGGUGGGAUGGGCUUGCUACUCCGUUCCCACCUUAUAGAUGAGGGACACUGAGGCUUGGAGAGGUGAUGUGCCCAAGGUCAUGCAGUCGGGAGGAAGUAAAACUGGAAUAGGAAGAGGAAGUAAAACCGGAAUACAAAGAGGAAGUAAAACCGGAAUACGAAACCACGCUCUUUGGUCAAUAUCACAUUGCUUUGCCAAAUGCUGCUGGGAUUAAUUGGUCAGGGACUGACAGGAUGACAACACCAUUUUGGAAAAUGUCGCUGGACUUACUGAAUCAGAAUCUGCACUUGAACAAAACUCCCAGGUGAUUCAUAGGCACAUUACAGUGUGGGAGGAACUGCUGUAAUAAUUUAGGCAUGGCUUGAUGAGACCCUGUAAUGUGAUAUCAGUGGCAAUGGGAAGAGAAAACUGACUCAGAGAGGGACGCUGGUGAUGAGUCAGCAAACCCUGGAGGCUUAGAAGGAUGUGGAGAGGUGAAGGAGAGAGUGCAGCGGAAAAGCCUUGGAGAUUGUGAACCCAAGGGUGGAGAAAAUGGUAAUGCUAUUGAAAGAAAUGCAGAAGUUGGAACAGGCUCCUGGAUUGAAAGGGAAGAAGUGACCUUGAGCAUCUAACAUGCUGAGUUUCAGGAGACGAUAAGAAAAGCAAGUACGUCCUACACAGAGACAGUCUGUCUGGAAACCAGGUGGCUUUUUUUUUUUUUUUUUGUCUAUUCUAGGUGACAUUUAUGCCUGGAACCUUUCUCUUUGGCGGGUGCCAGGAAGCUGAGAGAGAGGAAUCUCAAGCCAGGAAAUCGAGGAUGGAUCGUGAUUUUAAGCUCCUUGUUAAUUCUGUCAAUAAUUAGUGGUCAAAAUGGAAAAUAUUCAUGAAUGGCCAGUACAUGGAAUACAGAAAACCCCAUGAAAAGCCUGAAAGAGAAAACAAAUGAAAAGCAGAGUUCUGUGAGAGUUCUGUGCUGGGGGUACCUUAUCUGAUUUUCCUCAUCAUUCACCAAGAAGAACCAGCGAAACUUCACAACCAACGGACUGCAGUUGGUGAUGGUGACCGAUACACCUGCUCAAAAGUUACUUGUUGAUUUGAAUUGAACUUGUACCUCUCACCUCUCCUACUGGACCACAAGCUCUUUUUUUCAUCUCCUAGCAGAACAUCUUUCCCAUGGUGAUAAUCAACAGAUACUAAUUUGUUUUAAUGAACAAAAUAUGAUGGAAUCCACUACCAAAAUAAAUGGUCUUGAACAUUCUUCUGCAAACCUCCAGAUGGAGUUUGCUCUUGUCGCCCAGGCUGGAGUGCAAUGGUGCAAUCUCAGCUCACUGCAACCUCUGCCUCCCCGGUUCAAGCGAUUCUCCUGCCUCAGCCUCCCAAGUAGCUGCGAUUACAGGCAUGUGCCACCACGCCUGGCUAAUUUUGUAUUUUUAGUAGACACGGGGUUUCUCCAUGUUGGUCAGGCUGGUCUCGAACUCCCGACCACAGGUGACCCACCCACCUCGGCCUCCCAAAGUGCUGGGAUUACAGGCGUGAGCCACCGUGCCCGGCCAAAUUUUUGCCUUUUAUACUUAAACAUUUAAAAAUCAUGCAUUAGGAAUUAAUAUUUCUUUGGACUCAAAAAGCCUAGAUUUUUAUAAAGCAGAAAGGAUCAAAAGUGAAUUUACAGCAUGAAUAGGUUAUAUAGAAGAGUGCUCAGGUUAGGGAUGUUAAUGCAUUCCAGUCUCUUCUCAAUUAUGUAGCAUGAUUUAGAAGAACAUUCGGGGAUGCUUUUAGUAAAGCUUAAGCUGAGUUUAGUCCCCCAGCAGCUCAGAAUUAAUGCCUUCAAAAAUAUGGACAACUCUUGAUAACCACAUUAUAAAUAUGCUCUUCCAACAGCUGUCAGUGUCUUGAGAUAAGGGCCUGUGUUCUAUUCAUCUUUACAUCCUCAGUGCCUAGCACAGUAUUUGUCACAUGGUAUACACACAAUAAAAGUUGGCUGAUCACCUGAAUAACAGAGAGAAGGAACACAUUAUCUUUUCCACAAUGAGAGAUAACCUCCCCUUUUGUUGAACUGAGGAUGCGUUUUACCUGAAAAUGCUCUAUGAAGAAAUAAUCUAAUGAAAUAAAGUAGAAUCUGUGACCUUAGAGAAGCUAAGCAAGGGACUAGCUUUCCAGCUGUGUCUACUGGGAGACAAAGUUCUUUUUGCUUCCUAUUUAAUGUGGGGAAAAGUCAGUAUCACCUCCAAAUUUGGCAACACAAGCAGGAUCUUAAGCAAGCAUCAUUUCUCAUCUACAAGGUCUGCAUUUUGUCGGGAGGGAGAGACUCUUAAGUGACUUUGAAAGCCUUUCCUUUAGGUUUUUAAUGGUUUCCACACUCUGUGAGAGAAUAGGGAUAAAGAAACACUCAUGAUUUGGAUCUACUGAAAUGUUUUACGUAGAGUGUAUGGAGAUCAUGUAAAUAAAAGCAGGGAAUCAGAGUUGCUGAAGAUAAAUGUGGCUCUUUUAUUAAUGCAUAAAAAGAAGAUGUUUUGAAAUGUGAGUUGCAGUCAGGCUGGAAAGAAAGGAACA
This 2612-nucleotide long non-coding RNA is filed under the name Homo sapiens (human). RNAcentral's name for it is "HSALNT0233031". The record is from RNAcentral. Lineage: Eukaryota; Metazoa; Chordata; Mammalia; Primates; Hominidae.